GGGAGGACCCCGCCGCGCCUUUCCGCCAGCAGGAUCUCAGGGGUCCUUCUGCCUCUGGGGCUGCCCGCCACACUCGCCUGACUUUAUGGAGCCUCCCGCCCAGCCAAACAGAAUCUCUGCUUUCUCACUAUGCUCUACUUUUAUUUGGAAAGAAUAAAUGUGUGAAUAGAAUGUCUCUCUUCCCUUUACGGGGGAAGUAGGCCAGACAAUCCGAGACCUCUAAAUCAGGCAGAGGAUUAGGCAGCCAUAGGCGGGCACGUCCUCCAAUGUCCUUGGCUUUCUCUCGGCGCCAAAAUUCAAACGUUUGUUACUGCUGCAGCACUGCUUACGGCAUGAAGAGUUAACAGUUCAAUCCUUUCAUUGUACUCUUUGGGGAAGCACCAACGUGGCCCCUUGACAGCUUAAAGAAGAUGUACAUCAAAUCAAUUGUACUUGAAGGAUUUAAAUCCUAUGCUCAGAGGACAGAAAUCCGUGAUUUUGAUCCAUUAUUCAAUGCCAUUACUGGCUUGAAUGGUAGUGGCAAGUCCAACAUCUUGGACUCAAUCUGCUUCCUCCUGGGUAUCUCCAAUCUAUCUCAGGUAAAGAGAGAAGGCGAAUUUAAGAAACGUCUUCCUUACAUCAUCAACCUUUUAUUUUAGUCUGAUGAGAAAUCUCUGGUGGAAGACCCAAAAAAUGUUAUUUCUGUCAAAAAAUGGUUUUAUUUUCUUGAAUUCUUCAGUAAGUGAAACUGUGUUUCUAUCGUUUUUGCUUGUUCUUAUUAAGUUUAAAUUAAUUUAAUAAUCAGUACUCUGCGGUAAUGCAAAGUAUACCACUUAAUUGAAAAAUACCCACUUAACGGCAGCAGCCUGAAGCUGAAAUUCUUUUGAAGCUGAAGGUUCCAAUUUGUGUUCUUGUAACAAAAUUCUGCACUUCUACAUUGAGUCUUUGAAAUUUCACCAAGGUGUUCUUCAGAGCGGGAAA
Non-coding RNA from Meleagris gallopavo (turkey), 960 nucleotides. NCBI's taxonomy places the organism in Eukaryota, Metazoa, Chordata, Aves, Galliformes, Phasianidae. The record is from RefSeq and is a predicted model, not a curated record.